GCGUCGAUCAUCGUCGAAGGGCUCUGCUUCGACUCCUUCUUGACUUUUCCUCUGACUCUCCUUCAAUUUGCGGUCUUCUCUCAUCUCUCACUCUUUCUCAUGCUUUCCUUCUGUACUGAAGAAGCCUUCCAUCUAUUUCGAUCUCUCCCACAAACCCUUAUGUUGCCAAAGCUUGCCUUCCCUCGCUCUCCGAUCUCGACUUCCCUCUCUCACUUUCCUAAUGAAAAAGACCAACCCAGUAGAAAUUUCUCCAGUUCUUUCUUCAAAAACUACAAAUCACAACAACCAAACUCCAAAAAAAAAAAAAAAAAAAAAAUCUAAUUCGAAAAGCCAUUUGCUUUUCCUUGGAUUUGGGUUUUCCUUCGAUUCCUACACUAUCCAAACCUUUGCCUUGGGGCGUGGAUCAAGUUAGGGUUUUCUCUGAUGCUUUGCAUGUGCUACAUGUGUGAAAAUGCCUUGCCUCUUCAGAUCAGUCUACAUCCCUGCUUCUAUCACUCUCGAACCUAAAUUUCUUUCCCUCUCAAACGCCACCCUUCUCCCUCUCCAACCUUGCGAUCUUUGUCUCACAAAUUACCAACCGCACUUUCUUGCUGAAAAACCACCCAAUCUGUAGUAGCUUCUUUGGUUCUUUAGUUGGAUGCGGGGAAAUUUUGUACCCAAGCGUUUCCUAGGGACCCUGGAUUUUCUUUUUCUUUUUUGGGCUUUUGUAAUUCAAGGUGAGCAAUUUCAGCUUCUCUCUUUGGGGCUAUUGUGGAACCAAAUUUUAAUUUUUAUGAUUGUGAAAGUUGAGUACGACACUUUGUUUAGUUUCCAUUUAGUACAUUAAUGCAUAACUUUGUUUUUCUCUCCUCCUUAAAUUCAUAUAUGGAAAUAGGAAGUUUAAGGAUCUUUGUUCUUGCUAAUAGGUUUAAUAAUAAUGACGUUUGGAUGAUCUUUGUUUCCAGGAAACUGAUUUUAAAGAAUGGUAGCUGGUGAUUCAGGAAAUAGUUAGAUUUUUUAAAGCUGACACAUGUUUUAUGAAUAUCAGGCUUUAAGAUACAAUACUGUUCUAGGCUGUCAUCCAGAUUCCCAACUACACGUUUCCAUGACAGUUUCAAAUAGGUCCUUGAGAUGAUCAGAUGCUAUACUGAGCAGCCACCAUCAUAAUAAUUUAUAAGGUAAAAGCGAGCGUUGUUCUCUUGGUCACUAGAUGCCUCGAGAAUUUAUAGUCACUCACCCAACUUGGGGUUUGAGUAAUCAUGAAUAAGUUGAUUUCGUGUUACCAUAUGUUGUGCUAGUGAGAAGACUUUGAGAUGGGAUGGAGGACUAGAGAUAGACGUUUGGAUUUGAGAAAGACAAUUGGUAUUGAAAAUUGAGAUACCAUAUAGUGUAUACCAUGGCAUGGUCGGUUCCAGCUUUUUCUCUUCCUUGGUAUGCGUUAUUUCUCCCUCUCUCUUAAUUUUUUUUUCGUUUAAUUUAUUUCUGCAAUUUG
Non-coding RNA from Malus domestica (apple), 1471 nucleotides. Lineage: Eukaryota; Viridiplantae; Streptophyta; Magnoliopsida; Rosales; Rosaceae. The record is from RefSeq and is a predicted model, not a curated record.